AGGUCUUCCACCACAGCUACCGUCAUUUGAGACUGGGUCCAAACCUUCCAAGAAAACAUCCAGGUUCAAGCAGAGACGAAAAAAGGUACAAGAUGGGAAAAAGGACGAAGAGUUUGAUGCAGAGGAAGAGAUGGAAACUCAUGACACCCAUGUCACCAAGGUGCUUACAGAGAUAGUGGAAAGAGACACUAGUGGACAAUCUGUGAGGCAGCCCCUGGCCACAGGCUUGGCUUUCCCCAAGGUGCUGCACAGACAACAUGCAACUGCAGCAGCAC
Branchiostoma belcheri (Belcher's lancelet) is the source of this 275-nucleotide long non-coding RNA. RefSeq lists it as uncharacterized. The transcript is spliced from 4 exons. The record is from RefSeq and is a predicted model, not a curated record. NCBI's taxonomy places the organism in Eukaryota, Metazoa, Chordata, Leptocardii, Amphioxiformes, Branchiostomatidae.